AAGUAUAAAUCAGAACGAAAGAAAUUGCUUCCCUAGAACAAAUCCAUUGACUGAGAUAUGCAGUGAAAGGAAUCCAAGCUGGCUGGGAUGAAAAUCACUUGGCCCCUGAGAUAAAUGUGGUCAAGGAAUCCUGACUGACAACAUCAGCAAAAGCAGAAAGAUUUCGUUGCAGUUUUGGUAAAAACUGCCCUCAUCAAACGAACUGAAAAAUAUUCUGUUCUCCAGCAUUUUCAGGAAGAGUUUGUGAAGGUUUGAUAUAUCUUCUGCAAAUAUCUGACAGAAUUCACCAACAAAGAUUGUAUUGGAUUCAAGCAUCUAAUCUGGAGAUUAAAAUAUAAUAACCUGCA
Molecule: long non-coding RNA, 347 nt
Filed under: Pan troglodytes (chimpanzee)
Lineage: Eukaryota; Metazoa; Chordata; Mammalia; Primates; Hominidae
Description: lincRNA
Source: RNAcentral